This is a long non-coding RNA of Amaranthus tricolor (Joseph's coat), 9615 nucleotides long. RefSeq lists it as uncharacterized. NCBI's taxonomy places the organism in Eukaryota, Viridiplantae, Streptophyta, Magnoliopsida, Caryophyllales, Amaranthaceae. The record is from RefSeq and is a predicted model, not a curated record. The transcript has 3 exons.
UUCCCUUCUCCUUCUUCUCCCUUCUCUCGCUGCUCCUUCCUCUACUGUGCGCUGCUUCUUCUUCCUUGACCAGCAGCAGCGGCCGUUCCCUCUUGCAACCGGUGCAGCCGCCUCAUCUCCCUCGCAAGCAACAGCAGCAAGGGCUGCGUUUCUUCUCGCAAAUAGUAGCCCCAGCAGCAGCCCUAAUGCCGCCAGCCACGCCUCCGCCGUAGCCGCCAAUAGGCUGCGUUCUUCCCCACCAACAACAGCUGAGCCUUAAACAACCGUGUAGCAUUUUGUGCCGCCAGCAACUGGCUGCUGGGUAGCCGAUUUUGGCCCUGCGCCACCACCUCCGCAACCUCCUCUCACUUCUCCAUCCUCUUGCUAGUUUUAUUUUGUACUCAGUAUAUAAGAGGGUCGUAAAACCUCACCUUGGCUAAUUAUUGUGGCUUUUGGUCGUAUUGUAGCAGUUUCAGGUAUGUAUACGCAGUAACUAACCCUUAUAUGCAAUUUUCUUUAAGACAUUAUUGUUUAUUGUGAUAAUAUACAUUGCAUUGAAACUAUGAGAUACUAUUGAGUACACUUUACAUGAAGAGCUGUCGACUAUGAAAUCCUUGCGCUUAGAAUAGUUUAGAGAAUGAGAGUUAAUAGAGGGCGAGAACUACCCCUUAUUUAUUUAAGAAUUAGAUUAUGCCUAAUUGGAGUUAGAAUGACUCCUUUAUAGGUGAAUUUCAUAUUCUAUUGAGUGGCUCAGUGGGUUUUGGCGCGCUGCUAUCCCAGGGCGCUCAUUAAUAGUUGAGAGUGGAAGUUAUUCCCGUCUGACAAGGUACUAUAUUAUGAUUAGCUGGCGUGACUUAACUGGAUUAUGUCCGGUUGUUUUAUUAGUCCCCUAGGUGAGGUUCAACGGGACCACCGUAAGGGGGGUAUGAGCAUGCUUGGGUCACUGGGCGCCGGAUGGCCGAUACCGCCCCUUGACCGAGGUGAUACCAUGCGGGCCUUGCAAACCCCAAUAUGGUGGCCUCUUCACUGGUUUAGUACCCCAGUGUGUUAGGUUUUUUUCUCGAAGGUAGGACCCGAGAGGGUCAGCUGGAGGGGGCAUGAGCUCAUACUUUGCCAUUGGGCGCCGGAUGGCCGAUAACGCCCUUGGCCGUGUCACUAUGCCAGGAAGUAGAGAAAAGAUCUACUGAUAGAAAACUAUUCAGUGAUAGAAAGUUUAUUCGUUGAUCGAAAGUUAUGUAAUGAUAGAAGGUUCAUUCUUUGGUAGAAAGCUUACGCGUUGAUAGAACGUUUACUCUUUGGUAGAAUAUUUACUCUUUGAUAGAACAUCUACUUAUUGAUAGAAUAGUUUAUGCUAUUGAGAAGUGUGCCUAAGUUAAGUUACCUCAAGGGUAUUACAGACUAUGAUCACACUUACCCUAAGAUAGACAAGCUCUAUAAAGUCAUGUGUUAGGUAUUCUGUUAAUGCCUUGGUCGAGUCGAACUAUGCGUGUUUUGCAAGAGUUUAUGGUUGAAAAGAGGAGCGUGAAGACCUACAUUCUACUCAAGCGCACAUGGUUCGAGUUGGAAAGCACGUAAUGAAAUUAAGAAGUAUAAGUGGCCGAUAAACGGUUACUAUCUGUGCUUGCGUUUUAUGAAAUCAUCUUAUUUUGUUUUAUGGUAUAAUGCUAUCUAGUAGUUGGCCUUAUUAUAUUUGAUGCUAAUUACUGACGUGUACGUGUUUGUGUUAUGUUGAUUGUGGAUGACUUUCUAUGAUUGUCCUGCUAUGACACAUUGGCCUUUGGUCUAAUGUUGAGCAGCAGGAGGAUCAUAGACUAGCCUAGCAGGUACUGGAGCUUCUUAUGCAUUGCAUUGCAUUUGGGGAAAGUGAUGAGGGCGAAGCAUAACCCGUGUCUUUACCGCUAUCUUUCGAUUUUUUAGCUCUUGUUAUCCUUUGUAAAUUUUGGUUGUAUAUGUUUUGUUAUGAGGCCUUGUGUCCUCCCACGUGUAUUUGUAUUUCCGCUGCGUAGUCUAUAACUCUGUAUGGUUUUAAGGAGUUAAAUCUUUUUAAAACGCAAACGUCGACACUGGAACCACGAUCCAUGCUUGGCAUGUUGAUUUGAGAAGCCGGCGACGAAUCAUUCCGCCGUGACAUAGUUUUGAUAGGCCGUUGGUGCCUUUACUUUAUUAGCUUCUAAAUAACUUUUGUUUUUCUAUAAAGACGCACAGUUUUAAGGCAGAUGCUGCCAAAAUUUUCACUCACUCACCUUUUUAAAGUUAAUAUUUAACUUUUAUAUUUUAUAUAAAUUCAAUUCUUUUUCUUUUAUGUAACACCCGAAUUUCCUCUCGUCCUUUACGGUUUUGGUUUCGUUAAGGGGUCGGAAAUUCAGGGGUGUUACAGUUUGUGGUUGAUCAAGAUAUGGAACUUUGGGACAUCAUAAACAAAAGACCUAAGGUACCAAUGAAAAAGGAUGCUCUAGGUAACGAUGUUGAAAAAUCUGAGUCUGAAUACUUACAAAGUGAUUUGAAAUCCGUGUCUAAAAACUAUAGAGCAAUGAAUCAAUUGUGUUGUGAUUUAAAUGAUACUGAUUUCAAUAGGGUUUCAUCAUGCAAAAGUGCUAAGGAAAUAUGGGAUACGUUGGUUGUGAUGUAUGAAGCAACAUGUCAAGUAAAGGAAACAAAGAUCAUCAUCCUCAUGCAUCAAUACAAAAUGUUCAAGAUGAAAAAGGAUGAGAAUAUUUAUAAAAUGUUUACUCGUUUUACAAUGAUUAAUAACAGUUUGAAUUCUCUUGGUAAAAAUUUUACUAAUGCAGAAAAAGUCCAGAAGGACUUGAGGUAUCUUCCAAGAUCUAAAUGGGGUCCAAAAGUCACCGCAAUUAAAAAAGCUAAAGACUCGAGAGUACUUUCACUUGACGAUCUUUUUGUAAAGCUCAGAACUCAUGAACUUACCCUAUAUGAUGAUGGAGAAAGUGAUGUAACACCAUCCCUGAAGAAUCUUGCACUAAAGGCAAAGAAACAUUAAGAAUCCUCAAGCGAAAAUGAGGAAAACGAUGAUUAGGAAGAUCCAUUUUCCUUAAUCACAAGAGGUCUAGAAGGAAUCAUGAAAAUGCGAAAAAGUUAUAAAAAAUUUAAAUCCAGAAAAAAGGUAAAUCUUCUAACUCUAAUUCUAAAAGUAACAAACUUGCUUGUUUUGCGUGUAGAACUACAUAGCAUCUUGUAAAGGAAUGUCCUAAAAAGAAAAAGGAAUACUAUAAGAAAAACAAAAAGAAACAAGCAAUGGUUGCUAAGUGGAGUGACUCCGAAGGGUCAGGCGAACCGGAAAGUGAAGAUGGUCAAGCUCACUUAUGUCUAAUGGCGAAUGAUGACAAAGAUGAAGAUCUAGAACAAAACUGUAAGGAGGUACUCGACUAUCUUAACUCUUGUUCUAAAGAUGAAUUAGUUAAAGUUCUCUUUAAUAUGUUUCAAAUUGAAUAAUCUUAAGAGAUGAGAAAAACAUAUUAGAAGAUAGAAUUCAUCACUAUGCCGAAGGUUGUGAAGACCUUAUAAAGAAAGAUGAAUCGCUUAUGGCUGAAAAUUUAAAAUUUGAAGAGAUUGUCAAAGUCUUGAAAGAACAGAAUAUCAGUCAAAUGAAAAAGCUCAUUGAUCUUCAGAAUAAAAACUAUGAUCUUGAACUUGAUCUAAAGACUUUGAGAUAUGAGUCUGAGAAAAGUUUACAAUCCUUAACUAAGCUAAAUGAUUCUAAAUUUAAAUUCGUAAAAAUGUUUACACGACAAAAAUGAUCUAAUGAUAAAUGUGGUAUCAGUUAUAAUAACGCUAAAGAUAACUAUAAGAAUCAAACCACAUUGGUUAAAAGUGCAUACAUGCAUAGACACAUGCCUACUUGCUCCUAUUGUUGCAAAGUAGUACAUCUUAAGUUUGCAUGUCCCUCCAAAAGUAAGGACAACUAUAUCAUCAAGAAUACCUGUCCUUAUGAGUUACGUGAGAAGAUUAAAAAACAAGGGUUCCUAAAGGGACAAGACUACCUAACAUGGUCUACCCCAAAUAUGCUCCCAAAUUUGUCACUUGGUUAGCUACGUAAGGUUGAGAAAGGUUAUUUUUUGUUUUCUAGGAAAAGAAAAAUGGAUCUUAGAUAGUGGAUGUUCAAGACAUAUGAGUGAUAAACUUUCUUUAUUUUCUGAAAUUAAAGAAAAGUGCAGUGGCUCGAUUACUUUAGGUGACAAAGGUAUAUGCAAAAUAUUAGGUGUUGGCAAAGUUGGUAGGGAUCCUUCUAAAGUUAUGGAUAAUGUUUAUUUGAUUGAAUGUCUAAAAUUUAACUUGCUAAGUGUGUCUCAAUUAUGUGAUAAAGGUAAUUAACUAAUAUUUGAUAAAGAAAAAUGUGUUGUAAAAAAUCCUAACACCGGCGAUACAUUAAUUGCCGCCCUUAGACAUGAUAAUGUUUAUGCUUUGAAUACUAACGAAAUUGCAGCUCAAAAUUUUAAGUGUUUAAAGGCUAUAACGGAUGAUCCAAAGCUAUGGCAUAAAAGGCUUGGUCACAUAAAUAUACAUACCAUGCAUGAAUUAGUAAGUAAAAUCUGGUUAAGGGACUUCCAGCCCUUGACUACAAGCACAAUCCUUCAUGUGAUGUAUGCAUUAGAGGUAAACAAGUAACAAGUUCAUUUAACCGAAGAAGAUGGAAAAUACUUCAAGAGCACGUGAACUUCUACAUAUUGAUCUUUGUGGUCCAUUGCGUGUAACGAGCAUACGAGGUAAAUCUUAUAUUCUAGUAACCGUUGAUGAUUAUUCUAGAUUUACGUGGGUUGAUUUUUUGAAGGAUAAAGAUGAUGCCUUGAAGCUGUUUUCAAGACGUUGUAAUGAAAUGCAAACUCAGUUGAAUCUUCCAAUAGUUUCGGUUAGAAGUGAUCAUGGGAGAGAGUUUGAUCAAUUAGGCUUUGAUUCUUUUUGUGAAAAAUACUGUAUAACCCAUAACUUUUCAGUUCCUAGGACACCACAACAAAAUGGUGUGGUUGAAAAGGAAAAAUCGCACUUUAGAAAAAACGGUUAGGACCAUGCUUAUAGAAAAUGGAUUAGCCAAACAAUUUUUUGGCCGAGGCAGUUAAUACAGCAAACUAUGUCUUAAAUAGGUGUCUCAUUAGACCUAUACUUAAGAAGACCCCCUAUGAGCUAUUUAAAGGUAGAAACCAAAUACAACCUCCCUUAGACCAUUUGGUUGUAAGUGUUUUAUCCAUAAUAAUGGUAACGGUAAUCUAGAUAAGUUUGAUGUUAAAAGUGACGAAGGUAUAUUUCUUGGAUACUCAUUAAAUAGUAAAGCUUAUAAAAUGCUAAAUAAACGAACAAGUAUGGUUGAGGAAAGCAUACAUGUGGUAUUUGAUGAAUCCAACAAUGGAAUAUUAAGUGAAAGUUUUAAAUAGUUAAACCUUAAUAAACAUUUUGAUGAUGUAAGUGAUGAUAAAUUAGACUCUAAUGAUCAUAAUGAAGAUAAAACGAAGAAUAUGCAAGAUCCUAUACAAAGUCUUGACCAAGUUGAAGAAAAACAAGUUAAGCGCAUUGAAGACUCACAACCUGAUCUAGCGACCUAGCCUCAAGACCUGGAAAAAGCUCCUGAACGUACUGAUUUAAAUACUCCAACUAAAGAUUCCUCGAAGGAAGUAGGAACGAUUUCUCUAAAUGAUUACACACCAUCCAUACAAAGAAGAAGGUUUAGAUUGUCAUCUCAACAUCCUCCGAAAAACACCACAAGUGAUCCAAACAAAGGUACUCAAACUCAAUCCUCUCUAAACAUUUAUGCAUUUUCUGCUUUUGUUUCUCUUGUAGAUUCAAAGGAUAUAAAAGAAGAAAUACAAAAACUAGAGUGGAUCAUUAAUAUGCAAAGUGAAUUAAAUGAAUUCGAAAGUAACAAAGUUUGGGAUCUAGUUGAAAGACCACUAGAUCGUACUAUUAUUAGAACUACAUGGGUCUUUCGCAACAAGCUCAAUGAGGAUGGAGAGAUCAUAAGGAGCAAAGCAAGGCUAGUAGCUCAUGGCUAUAAUCAAGAUGAAGGCAAUGAUUAUGAUGAAACGUUUGCACCCGUAGCAAGGUUAGAAUCUAUUCGAAUUAUGCUUGCUUUUGCUUCGUAUGUUAAUAUAAAAUUAUAUCUAAUGGAUGCUAAAUGAGCUUUCUUAAAUGGCUACUUACAAGAGGAAGUAUAAGUUAAACAACCACCUAGUUUUGAAAAUCCGAAUUUACCUAAUCUUGGGUUCAAACUAAAAAAAGCAUUUUAUUGCUUGAAACAAGCUCUAAGGGCUUGGUAGGACAAAUUUAGUUCACAUUUAUUUGAGAAUAACGUUCAAUGAGGUAAAGUUGAUAAAACGUUUUUGAUGAAGACUAAAAGAAAAGAUAUUCUUGUUGUUCAAGUAUAUGUUGAUUAUAUAUUGUUUGGAGCUACAAUGAUUCUUUGUGCAAGGAAUUUUCUGAGAUCAUGUGCAAAAAAUUCGAAAUGAGCAUGAUGGGGGGAGAUUUAACAUUUUUAUUAUUGGACUACAAAUAAAGCAAAAGAAAGAUGGCAUAUUUAUUUGUCAAGAUAAAUAUGUUAGAGAUCUUCUUAAGAAGUACAAUAUGGAUCAAUGCAAAAGUGCUAAUGUGCCUAUGAGUGCAACACUAAGUCUAGAUCAAGACAUAAAUGGUAAGAGUGUUGAUCAAACGUCUUAUAGAAGUAUGAUUGGUUCUUUAUUGUAUUUAAUAGCUAGUCGUCAGGAUAUAAUGUUUAGUGUUUGUUUAUGUGCUUGUUUCCAAGCUAACCCAAAAGAAUAUCACUUAACAGCAGUUAAGAGAAUCUUUAGAUAUUUACAUGGGACUAAAGACUUUGGUCUAUGGUACCCCAGUUCUGAAAAUUUUGCUUUGACUGGUUUUUUUGAUAUGGAUUAUGCCGAUUAUAAGGUGGAUAGAGAGAGUACUUCAGGAUCAUGUCAAUUCUUAGGAGCAUCUUUGAUUUCAUGGUAUUCUAAAAAGAAAAAUUCAAUGGCUUUAUCUACGGCAAAAGCGGAAUAUAUAGCAGCCGGUGCAUGUUGUUAUCAAAUUUUAUAGAUUGCACAAAAACUUCGAGAUUUUGGAGUUGAUCUCAAAGGUAUUCCAAUUAAGUGUGACGAUUUAAGUGCAAUUUGUAUUACUAAAAAUCCGGUACAAUAUUCACGUACAAAACACAUUGAGGUAUAUCACCAGUUCAUACGUAAUCAUGUUGAAAAAGGUCUAAGUGGAGCGUCAGUUUUACUUGUUGUCAAGACUUUGAAGACCAGUUUAGCAUAACCAGUUGGCGAAAAUUAAGAAAUGACGUUUCAAUUGUUUGAACGGCUAUGUUGGAGGCGUAACAUAUAUACAAGAGGCUUCAUUUAAGAAUUAAGAGAAUUGUAACAUAAUUUACGAUCUAGCUUUCUACUUACAUUGAGUCUUAAUAUCAAAAAGUGUUGUAAAUUUAAUUCAUCUUACUCUCUCAUUUGUAAUAAGUCUUAGAGUAAAAAGACAGUUAGAACUUUAAUCUACGCCUUAAAGCUUGGAAUACUUUUUAAAGUAUUCAUUUGAUUUCUCUUUUGUGAGAUUGGGAUUAGAACUUUUAUUAAGGGAACAUGUAAGACGUUCUUCAAGGGGAAGAACAUGGUGAGAGAAGAUAGAGAGAUUUUCUUAGUCAUCUAAGGUUCAUUAAUAAAGGGCGUUGAAUCCUAAGGGAUAGAAAAGAACCCAUAGGCAGGGAGUAGGCUAUUGAUAGCUGAACCUCGUUAACAAAUCCCUUGUUAUUAUUUAAGUUCAUUUUCUUAUUUAGUUCUUAGAUUUAUUUGACCUAAAAUAGUUCCAAAAAACUGUUUUAAAAAGUCUUCCAAGCUCUUGACCUUCCCUUUUAGAGAAAAAUUUUAAACGGGCAUAAUCUCUAUUCAUCCCCCUCUAGAGAGUAUUUGAUCUUCUAUUAACCUUCACGAAAAUUUAUGUGCUCGUUUUAGAGCACGUUUUAACCCCUAUUAUAGUGUUGAGUCUCGCUAUUUUACAUUGGUUUAAUACAUAUUCCGCUCGAUCUUACCUUGUUAUUGUCUCCGAGGUGUUUUGAGGUUAUUUUUAAGUGUUUUCGGAGAAUUCAAGGUCAAGCAGCAUGAAUUCGAGCUGAGACACCAUGAUCGAAGAUGAGAAACGCGUAUUGAAGCAUUCUCAAGUACUACAAGUCAUUUUGGAAGGCCUCACCAAGUUCGGAGACCAUUACGCAUUUAAACGAAGCAACAAAGCAUGCCUAGCGUAAGAUUCGGCCGAAUGAACACUCAAUUCAGGCGAAUGGAUGGUGUUCUUCACUUUACUCGAAUCCAAACUCUUUAGAAAUGGCGAAUGAGAUGAACUCGGGCGAGCUAAAGACCAUUCGGUGAAUGACAUAGGUGAUUCGGGCGAAUGGUUAGAGAAAUACCAAGAAUCAUGCACCAAUGCGCUGGAACUCUGAAUUGAAUCCAUUCGGGCGAAUGGUCACCUAUAUUCGGGUGAAUAGGCACUAAAAACAGCGCAGUUUUAUUUCUUCGCAAGUCGUACUUCGUGGGUUAUUUUAGGGCUGCUGUUUCUUUUGCUCCUUGGCUAUAUAUACCCUUUAUAUCUGAAUGUAAACCCUAUGCCUACUUUGAGAGCUUCUUGCCUCAACUUAGAACAUCACUUUUACUUGUUUUCCAUUUAUAUUUCUCGCCCUAGAUUUAAAGCUUGCUUUAUUGCUUUUAUUUAUCUUCAAGCAUUGUAUUUUGGAUUCCUUUUGAUCCUUCCUUCAAGUUUUUGGUUUAUGUAAGUUUUAUUCACCUUUAUUGCUUUUAUGCUUUUCAAUUCAUGGUUGAUUACCAGUGUAGCAAAUAUCCUAUAUAUGACCAUCAUUACUAGUAGGGACAUAUUGCCCCGGAUCACGUGCACCCAUCUUGGUACACACCACCACCAGGUGAUUUUUGUUAUGAUUAUGGUUUCUAGUGGAGGCGUUAGUACUUCUUUUAUUUGAUGAUGAUGAUGAUGAUGAUGAUGCUGAGGGAGAUAAUGAUGAUGGCUAGAGUCCACCUUCUCUAAAGCCGUUUUGUUGCAUUGAGGACACUGCUCAGUUCGGCUUGGGGGAGGUAUUGUGUUUAUGGUCACCUUUGGCUCUUCUUGUGUAUAUAUGCAUGUUUUCAUUCAUUUCCUUUCUGUUUUAUAGCUUUCAUAAUUUAGCUUACUAUUUUCUUAAUUUGAUUAUGUUUUCAAUCCCUUGAAUCACAUUCAUGCAUAUUUUUUAUCUUCAAUUGCUAACUUGAUUUCAUUUUGGGCCAUAUUCUUGAUUUAUGUUGAUACCUAGGCAAAUUUAGAUUAUUUCUUCUAAAUUUUUGAUUCGCAGUCCUGUGAACCUUGAGUUUUCAAAACAACAGUUGAACAUUGAUUUGGUUUGUGGCAUCGUCUUUGGGCAUUUAUGGGCAUAUUUUAAACCCCUGAGUCACGAUUGAGCCUCUUCUGCACAUAUCACUUGUCUACUUACAAGAUUGUGGAUUUGUAGCAUACUAAGCAUGGCUUGAGGACUUGGGAUUAAUGUGAAUCUAGUUGUUUCUAUUAGACUAUGCCUAUUUCUUCCUUUUGUACCUUUACCACUUAUUCUUUCAUUAUUAAUCAUCCAUCUUUACUUUCACACCUUUAAACCUUUGAGCAUACUAGUUAAGC